This 68-nucleotide transfer RNA is filed under the name Tessaromerus quadriarticulatus. Its description in RNAcentral is "tRNA-Val". Lineage: Eukaryota; Metazoa; Arthropoda; Insecta; Hemiptera; Urostylididae. The record is from RNAcentral.
CAAUCUGUGUUAUAAAACUUUUGUUAUUUACAUUAACAUAAUUAUUCGUGUAAUUCGAGUCAGAUUGA